Molecule: ribosomal RNA, 253 nt
Filed under: uncultured bacterium
Lineage: Bacteria
Description: partial 16S ribosomal RNA
Rfam family: Bacterial small subunit ribosomal RNA
Source: RNAcentral
UACGUAGGGGGCUAGCGUUGUCCGGAAUCAUUGGGCGUAAAGGGUGCGUAGGCGGGUCUUUAAGUCAGGGGUGAAAUCCUGGAGCUCAACUCCAGAACUGCCUUUAAUACUGAAGAUCUUGAGUUCGGGAGAGGUGAGUGGAACUGCGAGUGUAGAGGUGAAAUUCGUAGAUAUUCGCAAGAACACCAGUGGCGAAGGCGGCUCACUGGCCCGAUACUGACGCUGAGGCACGAAAGCGUGGGGAGCAAACAGG